This 301-nucleotide ribosomal RNA is filed under the name uncultured bacterium. RNAcentral's name for it is "partial 16S ribosomal RNA". It matches the Rfam family "Bacterial small subunit ribosomal RNA", at positions 509 to 807 of the family's 1533-position model. The record is from RNAcentral.
CAGUCGCCACGGUAAUACGAAGGGUGCAAGCGUUACUCGGAAUUACUGGGCGUAAAGCGUGCGUAGGUGGUGGUUUAAGUCCGUUGUGAAAGCCCUGGGCUCAACCUGGGUAUUGCAGUGGAUACUGGGUCACUAGAGUGUGGUAGAGGAUAGUGGAAUUUCCGGUGUAGCAGUGAAAUGCGUAGAGAUCGGAAGGAACAUCUGUGGCGAAGGCGACUAUCUGGGCCAACACUGACACUGAGGCACGAAAGCGUGGGGAGCAAACAGGAUUAGAUACCCCUGUAGUCCCUGUCUCUUAUAC